AGUGAACGCUGGCGGUAGGCCUAACACAUGCAAGUCGAACGGCAGCACAGUAAGAGCUUGCUCGUACGGGUGGCGAGUGGCGGACGGGUGAGGAAUAGAUCGGAAGCUAGUUUUUCGUGGGGGAUAACGUAGGUAAACUUACGCUAAUACCGCAUACGACAUACGGGUGAAAGCAGGGGAUCUUCGGACCUUGCGCGAUUGAAUGAGCCGAUGUCGGAUUAGCUAGUUGGCGGGGUAAAGGCCCACCAAGGCGACGAUCCGUAGCUGGUCUGAGAGGAUGAUCAGCCACACUGGAACUGAGACACGGUCCAGACUCCUACGGGAGGCAGCAGUGGGGAAUAUUGGACAAUGGGCGCAAGCCUGAUCCAGCCAUACCGCGUGGGUGAAGAAGGCCUUCGGGUUGUAAAGCCCUUUUGUUCGGAACGAAAAGCAGCCGGUUAAUACCCCGCUGUUCUGACGGUACCCAAAGAAUAAGCACCGGCUAACUUCGUG
RNAcentral lists this ribosomal RNA (492 nucleotides) under uncultured bacterium. RNAcentral describes it as "partial 16S ribosomal RNA". It matches the Rfam family "Bacterial small subunit ribosomal RNA", at positions 29 to 507 of the family's 1533-position model. The record is from RNAcentral.